GUGGGGAAUUUUGGACAAUGGGCGAAAGCCUGAUCCAGCCAUUCCGCGUGCAGGAUGAAGGCCCUCGGGUUGUAAACUGCUUUUGUACAGAACGAAAAAGCUCCGGCUAAUACCUGGAGUCCAUGACGGUACUGUAAGAAUAAGCACCGGCUAACUACGUGCCAGCAGCCGCGGUAAUACGUAGGGUGCAAGCGUUAAUCGGAAUUACUGGGCGUAAAGCGUGCGCAGGCGGUUUUGUAAGACAGAGGUGAAAUCCCCGGGCUCAACCUGGGAACUGCCUUUGUGACUGCAAGGCUGGAGUGCGGCAGAGGGGGAUGGAAUUCCGCGUGUAGCAGUGAAAUGCGUAGAUAUGCGGAGGAACACCGAUGGCGAAGGCAAUCCCCUGGGCCUGCACUGACGCUCAUGCACGAAAGCGUGGGGAGCAAACAGGAUUAGAAACCCUUGUAGUCC
RNAcentral lists this ribosomal RNA (450 nucleotides) under uncultured bacterium. RNAcentral's name for it is "partial 16S ribosomal RNA". It matches the Rfam family "Bacterial small subunit ribosomal RNA", at positions 354 to 796 of the family's 1533-position model. The record is from RNAcentral.